CCCCCCAUCCCGCCGCAUUUUUGGUUUGAGCUCUUCUGGCUCAACCAGGCUGGAUUCCAUGAGGUGGUCAUGGCUAAGUGGAUCUUCGCGCGGUCCUCUCCCCACCGCUCCAUGUCCGCCAUUGACUCGUGGCAGUUUUGUGCCAAGCUCGCUCGCCAAUUUAUGAAGGGGUGGGAAGUGAACCUUGGCCGGGACCUCCGCGAACGCAAGCGGGCUCUCCUGUCGGAUAUCCAAGCCCUGGACGUCCGCGCCGACUCUUCCGGGAUCUCCCCGGAUGAGUGGAUGCCGAGAUAUGAUCUCGAGGAUUAGCUCUCGACCAUCUACAUGGAUGAAGAGACAUACUGGAGGCUACGCGGCACCCAACGGUGGGUGCUACGUGGUGAUGCUAAUACGGCUUACUUCCAGGCGAUUGCCAAUGGGCGGCGGCGACGGAACUCCAUCCAAUGCUUGUGGGAUGGAGAUACCCCUCUCGUCCGCCCCUCGGACAUCUGAGUCCAUGUAGAUGGCUUUUACAAAGCCCUAUUCUCCCCCACCCCUCGGGGUGGGGCUGCACUGGCCCCCGACACUUGGUCGGCUAACCAGUUAGUAUCUGACGUGGCAAAUGCCGCCUUGGUGGCACCUUUCUCGGAGGACGAGAUCCUCGUGGCCAUUAAGGGUAUGAACCCCUCCUCGGCCCCAGGUCCCGAUGGACUGCCCGUGACGUUUUUCAAAAUGUUCUGGCAGACCAUCAAACGAGAGGUCAUGGCCCUCUUCGAUGAAUUCUACUCGGGGACCAUGGACCUUGGGAGUCUGAACUAUGGGGUCAUCACUCUUAUCCCUAAAGUCCCCGGCGCUUCUAUCAUCCGCCAGUUUCAGCCUAUCACUGUGAUCAUUGUGAUAUUCCGGAUCCUGGCCAAAGGGUACGCCAAUAGGGUGACCCUCCUUGCUGACUCCGUCACCCACCCCAACCAGUCCGCCUUCAUUUAG
This 966-nucleotide ribosomal RNA is filed under the name Triticum aestivum (bread wheat). RNAcentral's name for it is "partial small subunit ribosomal RNA". The record is from RNAcentral. Lineage: Eukaryota; Viridiplantae; Streptophyta; Magnoliopsida; Poales; Poaceae.